Populus euphratica (Euphrates poplar) is the source of this 499-nucleotide long non-coding RNA. RefSeq lists it as uncharacterized. The record is from RefSeq and is a predicted model, not a curated record. The transcript is spliced from 3 exons. NCBI's taxonomy places the organism in Eukaryota, Viridiplantae, Streptophyta, Magnoliopsida, Malpighiales, Salicaceae.
UUCCAAUUUGAUAUUCAAAUGCAAUGAUUUUUAUGUGAACACUGAUCAAUUUGGACCACCCUCACCAGCAUCGCUGUCAAGUAUUUGGAAUCAUUCAUGUGCUGAACAUUUUUCGGCUUUGACAGUAUCUGCUGUGAGCUUCAUGCAAAUCCCACAAGUGCAAGAAUUUUAGGUUCUAUAUAAUUUCAGCAUCCCCUUUUUGAGGGUAAGAUCACUGUGGUGGCCAAAGGAGAUUAAAGUUGGAAGACACAUAUCCAGGACUGCAAGGAGAUCAAAGAAUCAGCUACUUGCUGUAUUUCAGGACUUAGCCAAGCUCCAUAUCUGUCUUCAAGUUCCUGAGGAAUGUCAUAGUGAGUCAAAGUCACAAAUGGUUGGAUACCUGAAAUCAGAAGAAGUAAAUACGAGAAUAAAAAGACUACGAUCACAUUGUGACAGUUUUGCAGCUGCCGGAAGUACUUUGACCAGAUGAAAGAUGGUGGAAAUGGUAUAUACCUCUACG